UCGUAGUGGAUCAAGAGCGAUUUAAAGGGGGUACAGCCCCUUUAAAAAAGAAUACAACCUCUCCUAGCGGAUAACUAAUUAACACCACCCCUGACACUGUAGGCCUCCGAGCAGCCAUCAACAACGAGUGCGUCAAAGCUCCUCGCCCAAAAAUCAAGAAACAACACGACUCCCUUAUCACUAACAGGCUAACCUAUUACAAUAGGAGAAUUAAUGCUAGAAUGAGUAACUAGGGCCCUCCCCUCUCAAGCGCAACGUUAUAUUAUCAAACCAUCAACAGACCAAAUAAUGUCACAACUAACAAGCCAAAACAUUAGAUCAACUCUGUUAACCCAACCCAGGAGCGCUCACUAGAAAGAUUAAAAUCUGUGAAAGGAACUAGGCAAACCCAGGGCCCGACUGUUUACCAAAAACAUAGCCUUCAGCUAACCAAGUAUUGAAGGUGAUGCCUGCCCAGUGACACAACGUUUAACGGCCGCGGUAUCCUAACCGUGCGAAGGUAGCGCAAUCAAUUGUCCCAUAAAUCGAGACCUGUAUGAAUGGCUAAACGAGGUCCUAACUGUCUCUCACAGAUAAUCAGUGAAAUUGAUCUCCCUGUGCAAAAGCAGGGAUAAGCACAUAAGACGAGAAGACCCUGUGGAACUUAAAAAUCAGCAGCCACCACAAGCACACCCACCACCUAUUAGGCUCACUACACCUAUAAACGCUGGCCCGCAUUUUUCGGUUGGGGCGACCUUGGAGAAAAACAAAACCUCCAAAAAUAAGACCACACCUCUUAACCAAGAGCAACUCCUCAACGUACUAACAGUACCCAGACCCAAUAUAAUUGACUAAUGAACCAAGCUACCCCAGGGAUAACAGCGCAAUCUCCUUCAAGAGCCCGUAUCGACAAGGAGGUUUACGACCUCGAUGUUGGAUCAGGACACCCUAAUGGUGCAGCCGCUAUUAAGGGUUCGUUUGUUCAACGAUUAACAGUCCUACGUGAUCUGAGUUCAGACCGGAGCAAUCCAGGUCGGUUUCUAUCUAUGCUUACACUUUCCCUAGUACGAAAGGACCGGAAAAGUGAGGCCAAUGCUACAAGCACGCCUCCUCUCUAAGUAAUGAACCCAACUGAAUUACAAAAAAGAGUACCCACACAUCUUGUCCUAGAAAAGGACCGCUAGCGUGGCAGAGCCGGCAAAUGCAA
Molecule: ribosomal RNA, 1186 nt
Filed under: Fregata magnificens
Lineage: Eukaryota; Metazoa; Chordata; Aves; Suliformes; Fregatidae
Description: 16S ribosomal RNA
Rfam family: Bacterial large subunit ribosomal RNA
Source: RNAcentral